Molecule: long non-coding RNA, 547 nt
Filed under: Equus caballus (horse)
Lineage: Eukaryota; Metazoa; Chordata; Mammalia; Perissodactyla; Equidae
Description: lncRNA (ENSECAG00000045704.1)
Source: RNAcentral
AGUGCCCAAGAGACAGAUUAACUGGAAUGCAACCAAGCCCGUAAGCUUCUGAAUCGCUAAAUUAAGAUCAUCAACUUUUAUCAGAACGCAGAAGCAAACAGUUAAUGGGAUCUUUUGUCUGCAGAAGGAGGAAGAGUCUGAGAUGCAAAGUUAUGCCCAGACAGAACUAUUGGCCAAGUUGUAGGUCCUUCUGGUUGUGCUAUGUGGGAUGCCGCCUCAGCAUGGCUUGAUGAGUGGUGCCAUGUCUACGCCCAGGAUCCGAAUUGGCAAAACCCUGGGCCUCCAAUGUGGAGCGCAUGAACUUAACCACUUGGCCACAGGGCCAGCCCUGAAGGACUUUAUAACUUUGUAUUAACACAUGAUUCGGGGGUUUAUUUUUCUAUAUGGGAUAAUUGGUGAAAUUUGAAUAAGGUCUUCAGAUGAACUCAUAUUAUAUCAAUGGUAACUUCCUUUUUUGAAAAUUACACUGUGGUUAUGAUUGUCCUUUACUCCUAAAUAUUUCAGUAUUUAUAUGUAUUAUAUGAAUGCAAGAAGACUGCAUGCCAAU